This 610-nucleotide ribosomal RNA is filed under the name uncultured bacterium. RNAcentral describes it as "bacterial SSU rRNA". The stretch from base 1 to 518 matches the Rfam family "Bacterial small subunit ribosomal RNA", at positions 338 to 873 of the family's 1533-position model. The record is from RNAcentral.
CCUACGGGAGGCAGCAGUGGGGAAUCUUGCGCAAUGGGCGAAAGCCUGACGCAGCCAUGCCGCGUGAAUGAUGAAGGUCUUAGGAUUGUAAAAUUCUUUCACCGGGGACGAUAAUGACGGUACCCGGAGAAGAAGCCCCGGCUAACUUCGUGCCAGCAGCCGCGGUAAUACGAAGGGGGCUAGCGUUGCUCGGAAUUACUGGGCGUAAAGGGAGCGUAGGCGGAUAGUUUAGUCAGAGGUGAAAGCCCAGGGCUCAACCUUGGAAUUGCCUUUGAUACUGGCUAUCUUGAGUAUGGGAGAGGUAUGCGGAACUCCGAGUGUAGAGGUGAAAUUCGUAGAUAUUCGGAAGAACACCAGUGGCGAAGGCGGCAUACUGGCCCAUUACUGACGCUGAGGCUCGAAAGCGUGGGGAGCAAACAGGAUUAGAUACCCUGGUAGUCCACGCUGUAAACGACGAGUGCUAGUUGUCGGCAUGCAUGCAUGUCGGUGACGCAGACUACGACAUAAGACACUCCGCCGUCGGGAGGUACGGUCGCGAAGAAUUAAAACUUAAAGUAGUAAGUUAGUACGGACGUGAGACGUCGACCGACGGACGACGACGAGGGAGAGG